GAGAGUGUCUCUGGACCUUUCGCUAUUGGAGCUUCCAAUGGCGGUGCCUUUUGGACGCUUCUGACCAUGUUCUCACCGCUUCUACCAGACAACCUCACCACCACUCCCUAUCCGUAAUCCAAAUCCAAAUCCAAAUCAAAAUCCAAAUCCUUCCAUUCAUUCAUCCACUCCUCUCAGCCGUCGGAUUUAGGGUUAUGGUAGCUGCAGGACUGGGAUGAUUGCCAUGAUGAGCGGCUAUGGAUGCGUCAAGAUGGAGGACGAGUACAUCCGCAGACACCACAGGCAUGAGAUCAGAGACAACCAGUGCAGCUCCUCUCUCGUCAAGCACAUCAAAGCUCCUGUUCAUCUGGUUUGGUCUUUGGUGAGGAGUUUUGAUCAGCCACAGAAAUACAAACCUUUUGUGAGUAGAUGCAUUGUUCAGGGUGACCUUGAGAUUGGGAGUGUUAGGGAAGUGAAUGUUAAGUCGGGGCUUCCUGCAACGACUAGCACUGAGAGAUUGGAGCUUCUAGAUGACGAGGAGCAUAUCUUCGGCAUGAGGAUUGUUGGCGGGGAUCACAGGCUAAAGAAUUACUCGUCCAUUGUUACUGUCCAUCCUGAGAUUAUAGAUGGGAGACCAGGGACACUAGUGAUCGAAUCAUUUGUGGUAGAUGUGCCCGAUGGAAACACCAAGGAUGAAACAUGCUACUUCGUAGAAGCCUUGAUCAAGUGCAACCUGAAGUCAUUGGCUGAUGUGUCAGAGCGAUUGGCAAUACAGGACCGGACAGAACCCAUUGACAGAAUGUAAGUGCCUUCACUCAAAAAGGUCCUAGCAUCAACGAUCUGAGCGCUGUGAGCUGCUGUGGGCAAAGCAUUUGAGGAACAUUUGAAGCUUAUUGGACACCAGAGUCAAACUAUGACUGGUGCUGAGUACAGAGACUGAAAAUGAUGCUGCCCAGGAUCACAUACUCACAAUAAAGAGGAUCCAAGAAUGGCUGUUACCAUCCUAGUAACAGUGAAAAGGUAUUGUAGAUUGUAGAACUCUCAGGUUCAAGCUAUUGUGACAUGUCCUUAUCUGGUCGCCAUUUCUAGAUUCUAUAGGACACUUACUGUUACCUUAUCAAAGAUGGAAGUCUUUUGAGCCACAAAAAUUUCUGUGUUUCUAUUUUCUGUAUGAUGUUUAUAACAUCAAUGCUCUUGCUUUUUCUUAUCA
This is an RNA transcript of Vitis riparia (riverbank grape), 1189 nucleotides long. It is a transcript of the gene named abscisic acid receptor PYL8-like, with no coding region annotated. Lineage: Eukaryota; Viridiplantae; Streptophyta; Magnoliopsida; Vitales; Vitaceae. The transcript has 4 exons. The record is from RefSeq and is a predicted model, not a curated record.